This 2838-nucleotide ribosomal RNA is filed under the name Salmonella enterica subsp. enterica serovar Bareilly str. CFSAN000201. RNAcentral's name for it is "bacterial LSU rRNA". It matches the Rfam family "Bacterial large subunit ribosomal RNA". The record is from RNAcentral. Lineage: Bacteria; Pseudomonadati; Pseudomonadota; Gammaproteobacteria; Enterobacterales; Enterobacteriaceae.
GGGUUGUGAGGUUAAGCGACUAAGCGUACACGGUGGAUGCCCUGGCAGUCAGAGGCGAUGAAGGGCGUGCUAAUCUGCGAUAAGCGCCGGUAAGGUGAUAUGAACCGUUAUAACCGGCGAUACCCGAAUGGGGAAACCCAGUGUGAUUCGUCACACUAUCAUUAACUGAAUCCAUAGGUUAAUGAGGCGAACCGGGGGAACUGAAACAUCUAAGUACCCCGAGGAAAAGAAAUCAACCGAGAUUCCCCCAGUAGCGGCGAGCGAACGGGGAGGAGCCCAGAGCCUGAAUCAGCAUGUGUGUUAGUGGAAGCGUCUGGAAAGGCGCGCGAUACAGGGUGACAGCCCCGUACACAAAAGCGCAUGUGCUGUGAGCUCGAUGAGUAGGGCGGGACACGUGGUAUCCUGUCUGAAUAUGGGGGGACCAUCCUCCAAGGCUAAAUACUCCUGACUGACCGAUAGUGAACCAGUACCGUGAGGGAAAGGCGAAAAGAACCCCGGCGAGGGGAGUGAAAAAGAACCUGAAACCGUGUACGUACAAGCAGUGGGAGCACAGGUUUACCUGUGUGACUGCGUACCUUUUGUAUAAUGGGUCAGCGACUUAUAUUCUGUAGCAAGGUUAACCGUAUAGGGGAGCCGUAGGGAAACCGAGUCUUAACCGGGCGUUAAGUUGCAGGGUAUAGACCCGAAACCCGGUGAUCUAGCCAUGGGCAGGUUGAAGGUUGGGUAACACUAACUGGAGGACCGAACCGACUAAUGUUGAAAAAUUAGCGGAUGACCUGUGGCUGGGGGUGAAAGGCCAAUCAAACCGGGAGAUAGCUGGUUCUCCCCGAAAGCUAUUUAGGUAGCGCCUCGUGAAUUCAUCUCCGGGGGUAGAGCACUGUUUCGGCUAGGGGGCCAUCCCGGCUUACCAACCCGAUGCAAACUGCGAAUACCGGAGAAUGUUAUCACGGGAGACACACGGCGGGUGCUAACGUCCGUCGUGAAGAGGGAAACAACCCAGACCGCCAGCUAAGGUCCCAAAGUCAUGGUUAAGUGGGAAACGAUGUGGGAAGGCCCAGACAGCCAGGAUGUUGGCUUAGAAGCAGCCAUCAUUUAAAGAAAGCGUAAUAGCUCACUGGUCGAGUCGGCCUGCGCGGAAGAUGUAACGGGGCUAAACCAUGCACCGAAGCUGCGGCAGCGACGUUUAUGUGUUGUUGGGUAGGGGAGCGUUCUGUAAGCCUGUGAAGGUGUGUCGUGAGGCAUGCUGGAGGUAUCAGAAGUGCGAAUGCUGACAUAAGUAACGAUAAAGCGGGUGAAAAGCCCGCUCGCCGGAAGACCAAGGGUUCCUGUCCAACGUUAAUCGGGGCAGGGUGAGUCGACCCCUAAGGCGAGGCCGAAAGGCGUAGUCGAUGGGAAACGGGUUAAUAUUCCCGUACUUGGUGUUACUGCGAAGGGGGGACGGAGAAGGCUAUGUUGGCCGGGCGACGGUUGUCCCGGUUUAAGCGUGUAGGCUGGUUUUCCAGGCAAAUCCGGAAAAUCAAGGCUGAGGCGUGACGACGAGGCACUACGGUGCUGAAGCAACAAAUGCCCUGCUUCCAGGAAAAGCCUCUAAGCAUCAGGUAACAUCAAAUCGUACCCCAAACCGACACAGGUGGUCAGGUAGAGAAUACCAAGGCGCUUGAGAGAACUCGGGUGAAGGAACUAGGCAAAAUGGUGCCGUAACUUCGGGAGAAGGCACGCUGACACGUAGGUGAAGUGAUUUACUCAUGGAGCUGAAGUCAGUCGAAGAUACCAGCUGGCUGCAACUGUUUAUUAAAAACACAGCACUGUGCAAACACGAAAGUGGACGUAUACGGUGUGACGCCUGCCCGGUGCCGGAAGGUUAAUUGAUGGGGUCAGCGCAAGCGAAGCUCCUGAUCGAAGCCCCGGUAAACGGCGGCCGUAACUAUAACGGUCCUAAGGUAGCGAAAUUCCUUGUCGGGUAAGUUCCGACCUGCACGAAUGGCGUAAUGAUGGCCAGGCUGUCUCCACCCGAGACUCAGUGAAAUUGAACUCGCUGUGAAGAUGCAGUGUACCCGCGGCAAGACGGAAAGACCCCGUGAACCUUUACUAUAGCUUGACACUGAACAUUGAGCCUUGAUGUGUAGGAUAGGUGGGAGGCUUUGAAGUGUGGACGCCAGUCUGCAUGGAGCCGACCUUGAAAUACCACCCUUUAAUGUUUGAUGUUCUAACGUGGACCCGUAAUCCGGGUUGCGGACAGUGUCUGGUGGGUAGUUUGACUGGGGCGGUCUCCUCCUAAAGAGUAACGGAGGAGCACGAAGGUUGGCUAAUCCUGGUCGGACAUCAGGAGGUUAGUGCAAUGGCAUAAGCCAGCUUGACUGCGAGCGUGACGGCGCGAGCAGGUGCGAAAGCAGGUCAUAGUGAUCCGGUGGUUCUGAAUGGAAGGGCCAUCGCUCAACGGAUAAAAGGUACUCCGGGGAUAACAGGCUGAUACCGCCCAAGAGUUCAUAUCGACGGCGGUGUUUGGCACCUCGAUGUCGGCUCAUCACAUCCUGGGGCUGAAGUAGGUCCCAAGGGUAUGGCUGUUCGCCAUUUAAAGUGGUACGCGAGCUGGGUUUAGAACGUCGUGAGACAGUUCGGUCCCUAUCUGCCGUGGGCGCUGGAGAACUGAGGGGGGCUGCUCCUAGUACGAGAGGACCGGAGUGGACGCAUCACUGGUGUUCGGGUUGUCAUGCCAAUGGCACUGCCCGGUAGCUAAAUGCGGAAGAGAUAAGUGCUGAAAGCAUCUAAGCACGAAACUUGCCCCGAGAUGAGUUCUCCCUGAGACUUAGAGUCUCCUGAAGGAACGUUGAAGACGAC